RNAcentral lists this small RNA (869 nucleotides) under Cryptococcus neoformans H99. RNAcentral describes it as "Cryptococcus neoformans var. grubii H99 hypothetical RNA". The record is from RNAcentral. Lineage: Eukaryota; Fungi; Basidiomycota; Tremellomycetes; Tremellales; Cryptococcaceae.
CUUAUAUUAAAGAUGGUCCCACCCAAGCUACAUACGCGAUCAUUAUCGACUAUUGCACGACUUGGGAACAAUGGAAAAAAAGAUCGUGCCUUUAUAGACAGUAUUAUCUUAUACCUCGGGCCGUACGAUUUAUCAUGAUCAAGAGUCUAGAGUUCAUGAUCUUGCAAUAUCAUAACUGCAGCUGUAUCGAUAAUGCCUAUUACAUUAUCAGUCUUUGGACGGGCACAUAUUCAUAGAUUCUGCUAUAGCUAUAGACAAAACUACUCGAGGCCAAACAGGGCACGUCGCCAUUGGGAGGCACGAUCUCCAUCUCGCCGAAGCUCAAUAUCUUCGUUGCCGAAGAUGUAUCUACAUGUAAUGAAAAGAAGAAAGAAAGAGAGAAUAUUCAGCAAAUUACUCUCAGAAAUUUCGUACCUUUGGGUUAGAAUGGAAUGAUAAAUUCAUGUGGACGUCAUGGAUUCACGGAUUUCACAAGUUAUCUCCCUUCGUUUCAAUAAAGAGUCAUUUUGGACGCGUGGGAGAUUUCCGUCGACAUACACCAACGGUUCCCAGGUCCUAAAGUUGAUCAACCCUUGGUCUCAAUCCCAAUCCAAGGUUGCGCCUUUUGACCAAGCGUCCUAUCUGGUGAUUGAUCUUGCUGUCGGAGCAAUGGACGGCUGGUUUCCAGACGGAAAGGGCGGCAAACCAUGAACAGAUGAUUCUGCUUCGGCAAUGUCUGAUUUCUGGGAGGCCGAAUCGAAGUGGUGGAGAGCAAGUUGGUCUUCUGAUCCAACAGUGUGAGGUUUUGCUAUUGACAGUGUCAAGAUGUAGAGGACAUGCUAGUGCACAGGAAAGACUUGCGGAUACACCUAUCACGAUGCAUUUGUGAU